RNAcentral lists this long non-coding RNA (226 nucleotides) under Carica papaya (papaya). RNAcentral describes it as "long non-coding RNA (CPAP_LNC000251)". The record is from RNAcentral. Lineage: Eukaryota; Viridiplantae; Streptophyta; Magnoliopsida; Brassicales; Caricaceae.
UCUCUCGACCUCCGCCCAUACUAUCACCUUCUCUCUCUCUCCUCCCGUGAUCCUCACUCGGUCCGCUUCCUUCCACUCGCCUCACUACACAUCCUCACCCAGCCUCUUCUGUAUAUCACUACCUCCGUAAGCCGUGGCCACGCACGCCACACAUCCAACCAUUUCACAAUCAAAUCAACACACACAUUUAGAGUUUGGUACCGUACCUCCCAUUUUCAUUUUUCCC